Molecule: unclassified non-coding RNA, 282 nt
Filed under: plant metagenome
Description: partial contains small subunit ribosomal RNA, internal transcribed spacer 1, and 5.8S ribosomal RNA
Source: RNAcentral
UUUCCGUAGGUGAACCUGCGGAAGGAUCAUUGUCGAAACCUGCCCAGCAGAACGACCCGCGAACUUGUAUAAACAACCGGGGGCGGGGGGCGUUCUCGCCCCGUGCCCCCGAACGGCGGGGAGACACUCGUGCCUUCUUGCCAAACAACGAACCCCGGCGCGGUCUGCGCCAAGGAACUUCAACUAAAGAGUGCCUCCGGUCGCCUCGGAAACGGCGUGCGUGCCGGGAGCGAAUCUUGUGCAAAACCAUAACGACUCUCGGCAACGGAUAUCUCGGCUCUC